AUAUUGUAUCUUCGUGAUUAACAAUACCUCCCCUUGUUUCAGUGCUGCCAGCAGAUUAGUUGCAAGCAGAUCAAAAGCAUCAUAUCAGUUGCGAGCAGAUCAGUUUCACAAAAUCUGUUCUGAUCUGCUGUUUCUGAUCGGCUGGCAACUGAUCUGAUCUGCUUCUGAUCUGAUGAUGCAGAUCUGUUGCGAGCAGAUCAGAAGCAGCAACCGAUCAGAACAGCAGUUGUGAAACUGAUCUGCUGCUGCUUCUGAUCUGAUUCUUCAAUCUCUUUAAUCUGCAAUCACUCUCGAUUCUUCUCAGAUUUCUAUCUCUUUUAAGGUUUGUGGACCAACUUUCCCUUUUACUUUAAAUUCCUUUGCUUUGUUCUUUCAUUUCAGUGUUAUUUUUCCAUUUCAUGAACUGGGUAUGUCAAACAAUUCUCUAUUUGAUUUUUUUUAUUUGCUUGAAUUUCUUUGUUUCUGCCCUUUGGUUGGAUUUUAAUUGUUUCCAUUUCUUUGUCUUUUCAAUUUUUAUUGAUGAUUCGUCCCAUUUACAGCUGGUUUUGUUUGCUUGAAUCUGAAUAAAAUCAUUUGUUUCUUGGGUAAUUCUGAGGGGGUUUUCCUUUGUUGAUGGAUAUUUUGGACUUGUGAUUUUUUUUUUUGUGUGUGGGUGUUUUGAGGGUUCCUGAUUUUGGGUGUUAAAUGACCAAAUGGGUAUUUCUUGUUCUUUUUAUAUGUUUUUCCUUUGAUCAUCUUUGUUGAAAUUUUUUGUGUAGCUAACCUUAGUGGAGUAGUGAACACUAAUUGUACAUCAUAGCACUUCGCUCUUUUCCGUGUAAAUAGAUCUGACAUAAAGAUAUUUUCUGGCAUUAGCUUGAAUAAAGAGUCGAAAAGAAGUUUGUUAUAAGCAAAAGAUUAAAGAAAUUAUACCUAAUAAAUACCCCUCUCACAGAAGUUGGAGAAUGUAAAGUCCUUAGCUCCGAGCCUUGUCCGAGAGACUGCUGCAAUUUCCUCUUAUAUCAUAAAGGAAGAUUUUGAAGUUCUGUUGGCCAAAGGCCCAAAACUGAAGUAUGAUCUUAAUCUCGGUUUUCUACAGAAACUCCUCUCCACUUACAUUCUUUCGGGACUUCACUACCUCCUUUGACCUAUUUUGGUUAAUACCAGAUUAUUUAUUGGUCUUUCUGUAUCUAGGAAUAUUUCUACCUGAUAGAAAAGUUAAUUGUUUUAUCAAUGGUUUUUCAGCAUUCUUAGUGGUGCUAUGAUACAAGAAAGCUGAUAUCCUUGUGAUUAAUUAAUCUCAAGAAAGUUGUUUAUCUCACCCUCUUAUAUUUCUAUUUGAGAUUAGUUAUGUAAAUCUCCCAACAGUAAAGCAAUGUACUGCUACGCUUCACAUGUUCUAUGUUUCUUGUGUUGUAUUUUGAUCUCUUUGGGUACUGUGCUUCUUGUGUUGUAUUCUGAUAUCUUUGGGUAUUGUGUUUCUGUACUGCCACGGUGCAUUCUGAUCUGAUCAUAUUCUUUUUUUUUCUGAUAUGUACUGAUGCUUACUGAUCUGCAUUGAUAUUUUACUGGUCUGCACGGCUGCUGCAUAACUGCUCAGCUUGCUGAUCUGCACGGGUGCUGCAUCAUUAAGGUGCUUAAGUAUUAAGUACAGGAAAUUGGCAAUCGGCAAACAAAUAUGAUCCUCACAAAAAUCAUGUAGGUGGAAAAGAUUUUUCGCAGUCCAGAAAGCUUAUGUACUCCUACAGCGUGCAGGUAUUAAAUAAUCCAAGGGAGCGGCUUUUCACCUUUGAGGAGAUAGAUGAAGUUCGAGAAAUGUUGGCAAACUUUAUUACUAGUGAUUGUCUUUGAUAUUAUCUUGUACUGAAUCUUAAAUUAUGGAUGCUAGCUAGUUUUUCAUAUGAUUGUAAUGUAAUCGACUUUUAUAUUUACAAUCUAUACUAUUUAAUUAUCUAUAUAAUUGGAUACUUUUUAUAUGA
This is a long non-coding RNA of Spinacia oleracea (spinach), 1958 nucleotides long. RefSeq lists it as uncharacterized. Lineage: Eukaryota; Viridiplantae; Streptophyta; Magnoliopsida; Caryophyllales; Amaranthaceae. The record is from RefSeq and is a predicted model, not a curated record. The transcript is spliced from 3 exons.